UACAGAGGGUGCGAGCGUUAAUCGGAAUUACUGGGCGUAAAGCGCACGUAGUCGGCUUGUCAAGUCGGGUGUGAAAUCCCCGGGCUCAACCUGGGAACUGCAUCCGAAACUGACUUGCUAGAGUAUGGGAGAGGGAGGCGGAAUUUCUGGUGUAGCAGUGAAAUGCGUAGAUAUCAGAAGGAACAUCAGUGGCGAAGGCGGCCUCCUGGACCAAUACUGACGAUCAGGUGCGAAAGCGUGGGGAGCGAACAGG
RNAcentral lists this unclassified non-coding RNA (253 nucleotides) under uncultured Gammaproteobacteria bacterium. Its description in RNAcentral is "contains 16S-23S intergenic spacer region". It matches the Rfam family "Bacterial small subunit ribosomal RNA", at positions 524 to 776 of the family's 1533-position model. The record is from RNAcentral. Lineage: Bacteria; Pseudomonadati; Pseudomonadota; Gammaproteobacteria.